Molecule: ribosomal RNA, 1335 nt
Filed under: Triticum aestivum (bread wheat)
Lineage: Eukaryota; Viridiplantae; Streptophyta; Magnoliopsida; Poales; Poaceae
Description: partial small subunit ribosomal RNA
Source: RNAcentral
AUGGCGUCCGAGCUCACGUACCGUGGCGGGGCUGCGUCCCCGUCCGCGGGCGCCGCCGGCGCCGGCGAGUAUUCGUCCGCGAAGCCCGCCAGCUCCAAGCCGCUCGCGUGGCUGCCCCGCGCCGCCCGCUACGCCGCGGCCGAGCACCGCCCGCUCUUCGCCCUCGUCGGCAUGCUCUUCGCCGCGGCCCUCUUCUGCCUCGCCGCCCCCUCCGGCUCCGGCUCCGGCACCGCCGCCCCCUACUCCUCCUCCGGACGCGCGGCCGCCGUCUCCGGCGCGCUCACCCGCUUCUCCGUCGACCCCGCGGCGCACAACCCGGGCCGCCAGUUCGUGGCCGGCAAGGUGCCCCUGGGGCUGAAGCGCAAGGGGCUGCGCGUCCUCGUCACCGGCGGCGCCGGCUUCGUGGGCAGCCACCUGGUGGACCGCCUGGUGGCGCGCGGCGACAGCGUGAUCGUGGUGGACAACCUCUUCACGGGCCGCAAGGAGAACGUGAUGCACCACUUCGGCAACCCCAACUUCGAGAUGAUCCGCCACGACGUCGUCGAGCCCAUCCUCCUCGAGGUCGACCAGAUCUACCAUCUCGCCUGUCCCGCAUCCCCCGUCCACUACAAGUACAACCCCGUCAAGACAAUCAAGACCAAUGUGGUUGGUACACUCAACAUGCUUGGACUGGCCAAGAGGAUCGGCGCCAGGUUCCUCCUCACCAGCACCAGUGAGGUCUACGGUGAUCCCCUCCAGCACCCUCAGGUGGAGACCUACUGGGGCAAUGUCAACCCCAUCGGUGUCAGGAGUUGCUACGACGAGGGCAAGCGUACAGCUGAAACCUUGACCAUGGACUACCACCGUGGUGCCAACCUUGAGGUUAGGAUUGCUCGGAUCUUUAACACCUAUGGCCCACGCAUGUGCAUUGACGAUGGCCGUGUUGUCAGCAACUUUGUUGCUCAGGCGCUAAGGAAGGAGCCUUUGACGGUUUACGGCGAUGGCAAGCAGACCAGGAGUUUCCAAUACGUUUCUGAUUUGGUUGAGGGGUUGAUGAGGCUGAUGGAAGGUGACCACAUAGGGCCAUUCAACUUGGGUAACCCUGGUGAGUUCACCAUGCUAGAGCUGGCCAAGGUUGUCCAGGACACCAUCGACCCGAAUGCACGGAUCGAGUUCCGUGAGAACACCCAGGACGACCCGCACAAGCGCAAGCCAGACAUCACCAAGGCCAAGGAGCAGCUCGGGUGGGAGCCGAAGAUCGCCCUCCGUGACGGUCUUCCCCUCAUGGUCACCGACUUCCGCAAGCGGAUCUUCGGCGACCAAGAUAACGCUGCCACCGCCACCGAAGGCCAGUAA